This 1107-nucleotide ribosomal RNA is filed under the name Siminovitchia fordii. RNAcentral's name for it is "bacterial SSU rRNA". It matches the Rfam family "Bacterial small subunit ribosomal RNA", at positions 34 to 1111 of the family's 1533-position model. The record is from RNAcentral. Lineage: Bacteria; Bacillati; Bacillota; Bacilli; Caryophanales; Bacillaceae.
CGCCGUGGCGCGUGCUAUACAUGCAAGUCGAGCGGAUGAAGAGGAGCUUGCUCCUUGGAUUCAGCGGCGGACGGGUGAGUAACACGUGGGCAACCUGCCUGUAAGACUGGGAUAACUCCGGGAAACCGGGGCUAAUACCGGAUAACUUCUUUUCUCGCAUGAGGAGAGGUUGAAAGACGGUUUUGCUGUCACUUACAGAUGGGCCCGCGGCGCAUUAGCUAGUUGGUGGGGUAACGGCCUACCAAGGCGACGAUGCGUAGCCGACCUGAGAGGGUGAUCGGCCACACUGGGACUGAGACACGGCCCAGACUCCUACGGGAGGCAGCAGUAGGGAAUCUUCCGCAAUGGACGAAAGUCUGACGGAGCAACGCCGCGUGAGUGACGAAGGCCUUCGGGUCGUAAAACUCUGUUAUCAGGGAAGAACAAGUGCCGUUUAACUGACGGCACCUUGACGGUACCUGACCAGAAAGCCACGGCUAACUACGUGCCAGCAGCCGCGGUAAUACGUAGGUGGCAAGCGUUGUCCGGAAUUAUUGGGCGUAAAGCGCGCGCAGGCGGCUUCUUAAGUCUGAUGUGAAAGCCCACGGCUCAACCGUGGAGGGUCAUUGGAAACUGGGAGGCUUGAGUGCAGAAGAGAAGAGCGGAAUUCCACGUGUAGCGGUGAAAUGCGUAGAGAUGUGGAGGAACACCAGUGGCGAAGGCGGCUCUUUGGUCUGUAACUGACGCUGAGGCGCGAAAGCGUGGGGAGAGAACAGGAUUAGAUACCCUGGUAUUCCACGCCGUAAACGAUGAGUGCUAAGUGUUAGGGGGUUUCCGCCCCUUAGUGCUGCAGCAAACGCAUUAAGCACUCCGCCUGGGGAGUACGGCCGCAAGGCUGAAACUCACAGGAAUUGACCGGGGGCCCGCACAAGCGGUGGGAGCAUGUGGUUUAUUUCGAAGCAACGCGAAGGAACCAUACCAGGUCUUGACAUCCCGCUGACCGCUCUAGAAGAUAGAGCUUUUCCUCUUCGGGGACAGCCGAUUGACAGGUGGGUGCAUUGAUGGUCGUCAGCUCGUGUCGUGAGAUGUUGGGUUAAAUUCCCCGCAACGAGCCGCCACCCCCUUGAU